RNAcentral lists this ribosomal RNA (895 nucleotides) under Colletotrichum coccodes. Its description in RNAcentral is "LSU rRNA". It matches the Rfam family "Eukaryotic large subunit ribosomal RNA", at positions 36 to 961 of the family's 3401-position model. The record is from RNAcentral. Lineage: Eukaryota; Fungi; Ascomycota; Sordariomycetes; Glomerellales; Glomerellaceae.
UAGCAUAUCAAUAAGCGGAGGAAAAGAAACCAACAGGGAUUGCCCCAGUAACGGCGAGUGAAGCGGCAACAGCUCAAAUUUGAAAUCUGGCCCCAGGCCCGAGUUGUAAUUUGCAGAGGAUGCUUUUGGCGCGGUGCCUUCCGAGUUCCCUGGAACGGGACGCCAUAGAGGGUGAGAGCCCCGUACGGUUGGACACCAAGCCUUUGUAAAGCUCCUUCGACGAGUCGAGUAGUUUGGGAAUGCUGCUCAAAAUGGGAGGUAUAUUUCUUCUAAAGCUAAAUAUUGGCCAGAGACCGAUAGCGCACAAGUAGAGUGAUCGAAAGAUGAAAAGCACUUUGAAAAGAGGGUUAAACAGCACGUGAAAUUGUUGAAAGGGAAGCGCUUGUGACCAGACUUGCGCCCGGUGAAUCACCCAGCUCUCGCGGCUGGGGCACUUUGCCGGCACAGGCCAGCAUCAGCUUGCCGUCGGGGACAAAAGCUUCGGGAACGUAGCUCUCUUCGGGGAGUGUUAUAGCCCGUUGCAUAAUACCCUUCGGCGGGCUGAGGUACGCGCUCCGCAAGGAUGCUGGCGUAAUGGUCAUCAGCGACCCGUCUUGAAACACGGACCAAGGAGUCAACCUUAUGUGCGAGUGUUUGGGUGUUAAACCCCUACGCGUAAUGAAAGUGAACGCAGGUGAGAGCUUCGGCGCAUCAUCGACCGAUCCUGAUGUUCUCGGAUGGAUUUGAGUAAGAGCAUAUAGGGUUGGACCCGAAAGAAGGUGAACUAUGCGUGUAUAGGGUGAAGCCAGAGGAAACUCUGGUGGAGGCUCGCAGCGGUUCUGACGUGCAAAUCGAUCGUCAAAUAUGCGCAUGGGGGGCGAAAGACUAAUCGAACCUUCUAGUAGCUGGUUUCCGC